This 427-nucleotide ribosomal RNA is filed under the name uncultured bacterium. RNAcentral describes it as "partial 16S ribosomal RNA". It matches the Rfam family "Bacterial small subunit ribosomal RNA", at positions 355 to 774 of the family's 1533-position model. The record is from RNAcentral.
UGGGGAAUAUUGCACAAUGGGCGCAAGCCUGAUGCAGCCAUGCCGCGUGUAUGAAGAAGGCCUUCGGGUUGUAAAGUACUUUCAGAGGGGAGGAAGGCGAUGUGGUUAAUAACCGCGUCGAUUGACGUUACCCGCAGAAGAAGCACCGGCUAACUCCGUGCCAGCAGCCGCGGUAAUACGGAGGGUGCAAGCGUUAAUCGGAAUUACUGGGCGUAAAGCGCACGCAGGCGGUCUGUCAAGUCGGAGGUGAAAUCCCCGGGCUCAACCUGGGAACUGCAUCCGAAACUGGCAGGCUUGAGUCUCGUAGAGGGGGGUAGAAUUCCAGGUGUAGCGGUGAAAUGCGUAGAGAUCUGGAGGAAUACCGGUGGCGAAGGCGGCCCCCUGGACGAAGACUGACGCUCAGGUGCGAAAGCGUGGGGAGCAAACA